CGGUGUUUAACUGGCGUGAUGUGGGACGUCCUACCGGUGGGCUUAGCCUCGCGAGGGGCGGCCCAACUAAUAUCCCGUCGCGGUGCUCUUUACUGAGUGUCGAGUCGGGCCGGUACGUUUACUUUGAACAAAUUAGAGUGCUUAAAGCAGGCUAUCCUCGCCUGAAUACUGCGUGCAUGGAAUAAUGGAAUAGGACCUCGGUUCUAUUUUGUUGGUUUUCGGAACCCCGAGGUAAUGAUUAAUAGGGACAGAUGGGGGCAUUCGUAUUGCGACGUUAGAGGUGAAAUUCUUGGAUCGUCGCAAGACGGACAGAAGCGAAAGCAUUUGCCAAAAAUGUUCUCAUUAAUCAAGAACGAAAGUUAGAGGUUCGAAGGCGAUCAGAUACCGCCCUAGUUCUAACCAUAAACGAUGCCAGCUAGCGAUCCGCCGAAGUUCCUCCGAUGACUCGGCGGGCAGCUUCCGGGAAACCAAAGCUUUUGGGUUCCGGGGGAAGUAUGGUUGCAAAGCUGAAACUUAAAGGAAUUGACGGAAGGGCACCACCAGGAGUGGAGCCUGCGGCUUAAUUUGACUCAACACGGGAAACCUCACCAGGCCCAGACACCGGAAGGAUUGACAGAUUGAUAGCUCUUUCUUGAUUCGGUGGGUGGUGGUGCAUGGCCGUUCUUAGUUGGUGGAGCGAUUUGUCUGGUUAAUUCCGAUAACGAACGAGACUCUAGCCUGCUAAAUAGGCGUACCUUAUGGUAUCGCGAAGGCCCCCGGCUUCGGCCGGUGGGUUUUUACUACCAACGUACAAACAAAUCUUCUUAGAGGGACAGGCGG
Molecule: ribosomal RNA, 819 nt
Filed under: uncultured eukaryote
Lineage: Eukaryota
Description: SSU rRNA
Rfam family: Eukaryotic small subunit ribosomal RNA
Source: RNAcentral